UUUCAUUAAUAAAAAGAGCUAGGGAAUAAGACACACUAUCACUUAAAAACACAUUUGUUGUGUUUAAUCCUCAAGCAUGACUUAUCAAUUAGGAAAUUCUGGAAAUUCUGGAUAAAAAAAGGAAAUGAGUAAGAUCGGAUGACUUCCCCUGUCACCGUUCUGGUGAAAAACAUGUUCUGGCUGAUCUGGUUUAAUUUUCUUGUUCCCAGCCAGAGUCGCAUUUUAUUUGCAAUAACCCCUGCAGCCCAUCUGCUCAGACAUCUUUUCCCCUUCAUCUACCCUUCUAACUCUUCCUCUCCCCAGAUUCCCGCCUUGUAGCUUCUGAUAGUGGUUGUGUGUGCUCUUUUGAAUGGCGCGGUUCCUGACCGUCCAUCCACCUGCAGAUCCAACUGCUGCUUCCUCCCCAGCCCUGGGAACAGGCCCUUAGUGCAUCUUCCAUCUCUUUGUUGAGACUUGCAGCUGUUACCUUGUAAGACCUACAGCAGGAGUAAGCCUGCAGCAAUAUUCACGAACUGAACUCUGGAAGUCCAUCCAGCCUUCAUACUCUGCAGACUGCAAGCAGAUGUUUCUAAGCAAGGCUAAUCGAAAGUGGAAGGAAGGGGGAGAAGGAGAAUCAGAAAUAAAGUCAACUUAUGGGAAGAACACUCGUUUCAAGGCAAGGAGGCUUCCUUAGCAGCUUUUGGUCCAGAUACGUGCUCUGUCAGAAGCAGGAAGUCUCCUGGAUGAUCUGUAGUGCCUGGAGCAUUUUUGAAAUCUGCAUUCAAGUGAAAGAAUGUAAGUAUAGCAUAGUUAUUGAGGUGACAACUCAAGCACUUCCUUGUU
This 822-nucleotide long non-coding RNA is filed under the name Anser brachyrhynchus (Pink-footed goose). Its description in RNAcentral is "lncRNA (ENSABRG00000016342.1)". Lineage: Eukaryota; Metazoa; Chordata; Aves; Anseriformes; Anatidae. The record is from RNAcentral.